AGAGUUUGAUCCUGGCUCAGGAUGAACGCUAGCUACAGGCUUAACACAUGCAAGUCGAGGGGCAUCAGUUUGGUUUGCUUGCAAACCAAAGCUGGCGACCGGCGCACGGGUGAGUAACACGUAUCCAACCUGCCUCAUACUCGGGGAUAGCCUUUCGAAAGAAAGAUUAAUAUCCGAUAGCAUAUAUUUCCCGCAUGGGUUUUAUAUUAAAGAAAUUCGGUAUGAGAUGGGGAUGCGUUCCAUUAGUUUGUUGGCGGGGUAACGGCCCACCAAGACUACGAUGGAUAGGGGUUCUGAGAGGAAGGUCCCCCACAUUGGAACUGAGACACGGUCCAAACUCCUACGGGAGGCAGCAGUGAGGAAUAUUGGUCAAUGGACGCGAGUCUGAACCAGCCAAGUAGCGUGAAGGAUGACUGCCCUAUGGGUUGUAAACUUCUUUUAUAUGGGAAUAAAGUUGUCCACGUGUGGAUUUUUGUAUGUACCAUAUGAAUAAGGAUCGGCUAACUCCGUGCCAGCAGCCGCGGUAAUACGGAGGAUCCGAGCGUUAUCCGGAUUUAUUGGGUUUAAAGGGAGCGUAGGUGGAUUGUUAAGUCAGUUGUGAAAGUUUGCGGCUCAACCGUAAAAUUGCAGUUGAAACUGGCAGUCUUGAGUACAGUAGAGGUGGGCGGAAUUCGUGGUGUAGCGGUGAAAUGCUUAGAUAUCACGAAGAACUCCGAUUGCGAAGGCAGCUCACUGGAGUGUAACUGACGCUGAUGCUCGAAAGUGUGGGUAUCAAACAGGAUUAGAUACCCUGGUAGUCCACACAGUAAACGAUGAAUACUCGCUGUUUGCGAUAUACAGUAAGCGGCCAAGCGAAAGCAUUAAGUAUUCCACCUGGGGAGUACGCCGGCAACGGUGAAACUCAAAGGAAUUGACGGGGGCCCGCACAAGCGGAGGAACAUGUGGUUUAAUUCGAUGAUACGCGAGGAACCUUACCCGGGCUUAAAU
This 987-nucleotide ribosomal RNA is filed under the name human gut metagenome. RNAcentral describes it as "bacterial SSU rRNA". It matches the Rfam family "Bacterial small subunit ribosomal RNA", at positions 8 to 986 of the family's 1533-position model. The record is from RNAcentral.